CCUACGGGUGGCAGCAGUGGGGAAUAUUGCGCAAUGGGCGAAAGCCUGAACCAGCCAAGUAGCGUGAAGGAUGACUGCCCUACGGGUUGUAAACUUCUUUUAUAAAGGAAUAAAGUGAGGCACGUGUGCCUUUUUGUAUGUACUUUAUGAAUAAGGAUCGGCUAACUCCGUGCCAGCAGCCGCGGUAAUACGGAGGAUCCGAGCGUUAUCCGGAUUUAUUGGGUUUAAAGGGAGCGUAGAUGGGUUGUUAAGUCAGUUGUGAAAGUUUGCGGCUCAACCGUAAAAUUGCAAUUGAUACUGGCAGCCUUGAGUACAGUUGAGGUAGGCGGAAUGCGUGGUGUAGCGGUGAAAUGCUUAGAUAUCACGAAGAACUCCGAUUGCGAAGGCAGCUUACUAAACUGCAACUGACAUUGAUGCUCGAAAGUGUGGGUAUCAAACAGGAUUAGAUACCCGGGUAGUC
Molecule: ribosomal RNA, 460 nt
Filed under: uncultured bacterium
Lineage: Bacteria
Description: partial 16S ribosomal RNA
Rfam family: Bacterial small subunit ribosomal RNA
Source: RNAcentral